This 137-nucleotide ribosomal RNA is filed under the name uncultured eukaryote. RNAcentral describes it as "partial 18S ribosomal RNA". It matches the Rfam family "Eukaryotic small subunit ribosomal RNA", at positions 1299 to 1458 of the family's 1831-position model. The record is from RNAcentral.
UGGUGGAGUGAUUUGUCUGGUUAAUUCCGUUAACGAACGAGACCAUUGGUGUGUGUUGUUGGGGGUGGUUUGUUGACCGCCUUUGGGUUCACGCACGACUUUUAGUGACCAACUAAAGGAAGCGAAUGGCAAUAACA